GCCUCCCAUUAAGUGAGUGAUAAUGAGUCCAUUAGUUUAAUAAUCACUGGAGGCCCAAAGGCCUGGUGCUUAUUGACUAAUGAAAUUAUCAUUCAUAAUAUGAUCAUUUGGUUGAGUCUUUCUAAUGGUGGUCAGGUUGGCCGGCCAAAGUCGGGCCUGAUCAUUUAUUGAUCUGAUUCACCAAAUCAAGUCAUGUUAAUGGUUGGACCUAACCAGAUCUUUUCAGUAGAGGCCAAAGCCUACUGAUUAGGUUCUGGGGCAAAAUCCAUUACUAAAAAUUAUUUAGAGAAACAACUGGUUAUGAACCUACCCAU
This 314-nucleotide long non-coding RNA is filed under the name Elaeis guineensis (African oil palm). RNAcentral's name for it is "long non-coding RNA (EGUI_LNC042166)". Lineage: Eukaryota; Viridiplantae; Streptophyta; Magnoliopsida; Arecales; Arecaceae. The record is from RNAcentral.